CCAAUAGCGUAUAUUAAAGUUGUUGCAGUUAAAAAGCUCGUAGUUGAACUUCGGGGUCUACCCAUUGGUCAGGCUUAAUUGUCUGCACUGGUGAGAUGGAUCUCUACCUUCUGAGGAACUUUCAUGCCAUUUAUUUGGUGUGAUGGGAAAUCAGGACUGUUACUUUGAAAAAAUUAGAGUGUUUAAAGCAGACUAUCGUCUGAAUACAUUAGCAUGGAAUAAUGAAAUAGGACGGACUGAUUCUAUUUCGUUGGUUUCUAGGAUCACCGUAAUGAUUAAUAGGGAUAGUUGGAGGCAUUAGUAUUCAAUUGUCAGAGGUGAAAUUCUUGGAUUUAUUGAAGACUAACUACUGCGAAAGCAUUUGCCAAGGAUGUUUUCAUUAAUCAAGAACGAAAGUUAGGGGAUCGAAGACGAUCAGAUACCGUCGUAGUCUUAACCAUAAACUAUGCCGACUAGGGAUCGGACGAAGUUAAUUUUAUAAUGACGCGUUCGGCACCUUACG
This 502-nucleotide ribosomal RNA is filed under the name uncultured Glomeromycotina. RNAcentral's name for it is "partial small subunit ribosomal RNA". It matches the Rfam family "Eukaryotic small subunit ribosomal RNA", at positions 591 to 1092 of the family's 1831-position model. The record is from RNAcentral. Lineage: Eukaryota; Fungi; Glomeromycota.